GUGGGGAAUCUUGCGCAAUGGGCGAAAGCCUGACGCAGCCAUGCCGCGUGAAUGAUGAAGGUCUUAGGAUUGUAAAAUUCUUUCACCGGGGACGAUAAUGACGGUACCCGGAGAAGAAGCUCCGGCUAACUUCGUGCCAGCAGCCGCGGUAAUACGAAGGGGGCUAGCGUUGCUCGGAAUUACUGGGCGUAAAGGGCGCGUAGGCGGACAGCUUAGUCAGAGGUGAAAGCCCAGGGCUCAACCUUGGAAUUGCCUUUGAUACUGGCUGUCUUGAGUUUGGGAGAGGUGAGCGGAACUCAGGGUGUAGAGGUGAAAUUCGUAGAUAUUCGGAAGAACACCAGUGGCGAAGGCGACUCACUGGCCCAAUACUGACGCUGAGGCGCGAAAGCGUGGGGAGCAAACAGGAUUAGAAACCCUAGUAGUCC
RNAcentral lists this ribosomal RNA (425 nucleotides) under uncultured bacterium. Its description in RNAcentral is "partial 16S ribosomal RNA". It matches the Rfam family "Bacterial small subunit ribosomal RNA", at positions 354 to 796 of the family's 1533-position model. The record is from RNAcentral.